RNAcentral lists this ribosomal RNA (497 nucleotides) under uncultured bacterium. RNAcentral's name for it is "partial 16S ribosomal RNA". It matches the Rfam family "Bacterial small subunit ribosomal RNA", at positions 28 to 507 of the family's 1533-position model. The record is from RNAcentral.
GAUGAACGCUGGCGGCGUGCCUAAUACAUGCAAGUCGAGCGGACGGACGAGACGCUUGCCUCUCUGAUGCUUGCGGCGGAUGUGUGAGUAACACGUGGAUAACCUACCUAUAAGACUGGGAUCAUUCCGGGAAACCGGAGCUAACCCCGGAUAAUAUCUUGAACCGCAUGGGUCAAAAGUGCACGCCGGUCUUGCUGUCUCUCAUAGAUGGAUCCGGGCUGGAUGAGCUAGUUGGUAAGGUAACGGCUUACCACGGCAACGAUGCGUAGCCGACCGGAGAGGGUGAGCGGCCACACUGGAACUGAGACACGGUCCAGAGUCCUACGGGAGGCAGCAGUAGGGAACCUUGCGCAAUGGGCGAAAGCCUGGCGGAGCAACGCCGCGUGAGUGGUGAAGGUCUUCGGAUCGUAAAGCUCUGUUAUUAGGGAAGAACCUAUGUGGGGGGAGCUGUGGACGUCUUGACGGUACCUAGUCAAGAAGCCACGGCUAACUACGUG